Monodelphis domestica (gray short-tailed opossum) is the source of this 2055-nucleotide long non-coding RNA. RefSeq lists it as uncharacterized. The record is from RefSeq and is a predicted model, not a curated record. NCBI's taxonomy places the organism in Eukaryota, Metazoa, Chordata, Mammalia, Didelphimorphia, Didelphidae.
ACCACCCCACCAGAGACACCUUUCUCUCUGCUCUCCAACAAAUCAUGGACUUUUCUUCCAUCACUCCAGAAAAUUAAUCUCUCCUAUAAGGAUGGAGAUAAGAGCUGUCUGGGAGAAACCAUCCCCUAGAAUUGGCAGAAUCCCCAAAAUAUUAAGAGAAAAUGCAGAAUUUCCCUCGAACCAAAGUAUGUUCUUCUUAAACUCCAAAACAAUGGGAGAGAUGGGGUGAGAAUCCCACCAACUUUUAGAAUGCCAGCUAUGAACCAAUGAGGCUUCAACAAUCUGGUCCUCAUCAAGUCUUAGGGGCCCGGUUCCUAUGCUUCUUCCGGUGUAAUAGAGAAGGGAUGUCGAUCGAGCCUGGCUCAUGCCCAGGGACCCGCCACCAGAAACAUCCCAUUUCUCUCUUUCUGGUCCCCCAGCCUGGUAGGAGCACCAUAGUGAUGACCAUCGGGGCGGAUGGAGCCCCAAACUACCCCCCCUGGGGUCCCCGUCUAAUCUGGCCUACUCUAUCCUCUGCCUUUUUAGCACAGUACAAAGGCCAUCUCUGCAAGGAAGACAUCCCUGAUGAUACCCCACUCCUAUCAUCCUAGAAAAACCUGGCUAUCUCGAAAUAUCUGUCGUUAGUUCUAUUUACAAGUUCCCUGAACGGUGAGGAUUGGGUUCAGCCAUCUAAAGCCCCAAGUACCUGACUCAGAACUCACACCCAUGGAGCACUUCGAGCCUUUAAUCAAUAUUUGUUUAAUGAAAUAGACUGGGAAGAAUGAGGGGGGGACUUGCAGCAAACUAGGGAGGAUUAGCCUCAUUGUGGUUCUCUUGGAGUGAGGGAGAGCACAGACAUCUCACCCAAACCCAGACACCGGAAGCCACUGACUCAGGAACAAAUCUUCUCUGUGAAUCCUCUUUACCUCAGUGUAUUGACCUAAGCAAAGCACUCUGAAACCUUAAAGAACUUCUAUAAACAGGAACUAUCACCACUAAGAGGGAUAACCAGUCCCAGCUAGGUCCUGGCUUAGUGAGUACACCAAGAGCCAGGUCUAGAGAUAGGAGGUCCUGGGUUCAAUUCUGGCCUCAGGCACUUCCUAGCUGUGUGGCCCUGGGCAAGUCACUUAAUUCCCAUUGCCUAGCCCUUACCAUACUUCUGCCUUGGAACCAAUACACAGUAUCUAUUCUAAAAUAGAAGGUAAGGGUUUAAAAAAAAAAACAGGAUAACCAGGGGGAAAAAAGCUUACUGCCUAGCUGAAAAUCAUAAUAAAUCUACCUUAUAUUUGCACAAUUCUGUUUCAAAGUGAUGUCAUAAGGAAACAGUGAGGUAUCACAGUGAAUGAGAGUCAGGCCUGGAAUCAGGAGGACCUGGGUUCAAAUUUGACCUCAGAUACUUCCUAGCUCAGUGACCUUGGGCAAGUCAUUUAACUCAACUACCUAACCCUUGCCACUCCUUUUCUUAGAACUGAUACUAGGACAGAGGGUAAGUGUUUUAAAAACAAAACAAAGCGAUGUCAUAUAUACAAUCUCCUUUGAUUCUCACAACCACUAGUGAGAGAGGCAGACCAAUAUUAUCCCUGUUUUACAGAUGAGGAAACUGAGGCUUGGAAAGUUAUAGAGAAUUGCCUCACAGUCACAGCCAGUGGAGUGGCAGAGCAUGGACUUGAAAGAUCUUCUGCAUAUUAGAAAAAUCAAAUUCUGAGUCUGAUGCUAGUGAUAUAGCCAGGGGCAGGUCACUUUACCUCUUUUAUCCUUAGUUUCCUUAUCUAUAAAAUGGAAAUAAUAAAACAUAGGCUACUAGCCUCAUGGCAUCAAAUCAGAUCAAAUAAGAAAUACAAAGUAGCUUGUAAAUCUUCAAGAGCUGAGCAAAUAUCAGCUGCUAUUAUUGUUAUCAGGGCAGCUGGGUGGCACAGUGGAGAGAGGGGAUGGGCCUUGUACAGUCGGAAAACCCCAGGACUAUGUUCCCCAGAAUUCCUAUUGUAUCUCCCAGGCUUCCUUUCCCUGAGUCCUCACGUUUGCGUUGUUACAUUAUUGGUUAUAAGUUUCUGUAACUCCCCUCUCUUUCUCUUCUUU